Molecule: ribosomal RNA, 498 nt
Filed under: uncultured bacterium
Lineage: Bacteria
Description: partial 16S ribosomal RNA
Rfam family: Bacterial small subunit ribosomal RNA
Source: RNAcentral
ACUCAAAGGAAUUGACGGGGGCCCGCACAAGCGGUGGAGCAUGUGGUUUAAUUCGAUGCAACGCGAAGAACCUUACCUACCCUUGACAUCCUGCGAAUCCUGAUGAGAGUUGGGAGUGCCGCAAGGAGCGCAGAGACAGGUGCUGCAUGGCUGUCGUCAGCUCGUGUUGUGAGAUGUUGGGUUAAGUCCCGUAACGAGCGCAACCCUUGUUCCUAGUUGCCAGCAUUAAGUUGGGGACUCUAGGAAGACUGCCGGUGAUGAACCGGAGGAAGGCGGGGACGACGUCAAGUCAUCAUGGCCUUUAUGGGUAGGGCUACACACGUGCUACAAUGGGGCGUACAGAGGGUCGCGAAGCCGCGAGGUGGAGCCAAUCCCGAAAAGCGUCUCGUAGUCCGGAUUGGAGUCUGCAACUCGACUCCAUGAAGUUGGAAUCGCUAGUAAUCGCGAAUCAGCAUUGUCGCGGUGAAUACGUUCCCGGGCCUUGCACACACCGCCCGU